GGGUACCGGUACAGAGUCAAUGUGGAGGCUAUAUACAGGGUGUACCGGUACAGAGUCAAUGUGGAGGCUAUAUACAGGGGGUACCGGGACAGAGUCAAUGUGGAGGCUAUAUACAGGGGGUACCGGUACAGAGUCAAUGUGGAGGCUAUAUACAGGGUGUACCGGUACAGAGUCAAUGUGGAGGCUAUAUACAGGGUGUACCGGUACAGAGUCAAUGUGGAGGCUAUAUACAGGGUGUUACGGUACAGAGUCAAUGUGGAGGCUAUAUACAGGGGGUACCGGUACAGAGUCAAUGUGGAGGCUAUAUACAGGGGUACCGGUACAGAGUCAAUGUGGAGGCUAUAUACAGGGUGUUAUGGUACAGAGUCAAUGUGGAGGCUAUAUACAGG
Molecule: long non-coding RNA, 389 nt
Organism: Oncorhynchus tshawytscha (Chinook salmon)
Lineage: Eukaryota; Metazoa; Chordata; Actinopteri; Salmoniformes; Salmonidae
Source: Ensembl